Long non-coding RNA from Numida meleagris (helmeted guineafowl), 265 nucleotides. RefSeq lists it as uncharacterized. The transcript is spliced from 3 exons. NCBI's taxonomy places the organism in Eukaryota, Metazoa, Chordata, Aves, Galliformes, Numididae. The record is from RefSeq and is a predicted model, not a curated record.
AAAGCUACCAUCUCAUGCACAAAUGCUUCUGGUUAUUUUUAGCUUCCUAAGAGCAGUUAUUUCUCUGGGAUAUUCUGAUUAGUACCUCCCUGCAGCUUCAGGGAAGACUCUUCUUAACAGCUUGAGCUGAAAUAAAUCGAUAUUUGAAGUAAAUGUGAGAGGAUACAACAGUGCCACUGGCCACAGGAAAGACCGUAAGGCGAUACACCUACUGACUCAGUUUCCCUGCAUAAGGUGACAAUCUGUGCAGCUGCCCUAGCAGUAG